RNAcentral lists this long non-coding RNA (6807 nucleotides) under Solanum tuberosum (potato). Its description in RNAcentral is "long non-coding RNA (STUB_LNC003454)". The record is from RNAcentral. Lineage: Eukaryota; Viridiplantae; Streptophyta; Magnoliopsida; Solanales; Solanaceae.
UUCUUGAUCUACCUCCGCGAAAGGACCUUGUCCAACAUCCCGAUUACCUCAAGACCUUUUAUGAGGAAAUGCAAUUAGACAAGCAGAGACAGUUACCAGAGGUAAAGCCUUAUUUCUCUUCGUCUCUAUAUAUUCGAGCCCUUGUCUCUCCAUCGACUAUAGCUUGGUUUCUAUAGAAAUCGAAUCUUCCCAGACCAUUCACAUUGAUGAGUCCUGUUGCUAAGGUAAUGCUGGAUACAUGGUUGGAUCUGUGUCCUUGUACUGAGAGAAGAUUGACAGAUGAUGAAAGUACAGAUCUAGCUAAGAGGGAUCGAAUAAUUAAGAAUAAGAUUAUUGAUAGAUCUUGAAUCAAGCUUCCCUAGGCUUUUCGGGCAAGAAGUAGCGAACCAGGUUUUAGGAAUACUAAGGAAAAUCUACAACAAUUGAAUUUCUUGCUCCUGCUGUUGUUUGAUUGUGAUUAUUGUAUGUAAUCUUUAUAAUUCUUUUUAAGCUAGAGUGUAUUAGGAAAAAUAAUGCAUGUAUUAGUUUUGUAUAUUACUAGUAUCUUGUUUGAUACUCUUUUUCAACCUAUGUAUAACUAAUGUUACACUCUAUUGUGUAUUAAGAUGUGCAUUGCUAAUAUCAUAGAUUUCUAGGUAUUAGCAAUGCAAUGGUUUUAAUGCAUGCAUUAACAUGAUAAAAGACUCAACUACCCUUCAAAAUCUUUGUUUACAUCUUUUCCACCAUAAAGUGGAGGGUAUCUUUGUAAAUAAUUUUUUUAAUGCAAUACAUACUAUUUUUAAUGCAUUAAAUCAAACAAUGCAUUAAAAUAAUCUAUGUAUAAUUAAUGUAAGCAUAACUAUACAUGCAUUGCUAAUACAAACAUUACUAAAUACACUAUAUUUAACAUUAUUCUUAUACACUCUCGACUUGAAAAGAUGUAAAUUUAGAGUAACUAUAAAAGUUGCAUUCUUCUAUUUGGCUCCUCCCUAGAGUUUUUGUCAUCCUGUGUGUUGAUAGGAUGAAACUUGCUAAAUCAAUAAUUUGAUUACUAAUAAAUUAUUAACUUUUUUUCGAUUUAGGUUAUUGGUUUUGAUUCAGUCUUGAACCGUCUUGGAUCACACCAUAGAAUUCAAAUCAAUGAAGGUAGUGCUUCUCUUCAACAAAUAUAGAACUGGAAUCGAACAUACAUUAGAUGCAUUGGAGAGAUAAUUUUCAAUUAAUUUCAUUUUGGUUUGAUAAAUUGAUAAGUAAUUUAAGAUAACUAUUAUUUAUAAUAAAAUGGACAAUUAAUAUGAGAUGAAGGAGUAAUAAACCAUUUUUCCAAUUGGAAGGAAUUGAGGAUUUAGACCCACAAAAUAAAGGAAUACUUAAGUUUGACAAAGCCUUAUAAACCUUUCUAAGUUGGGAUAAAUAAAAUAUAAAGUUGUGAGAGAUAAAUUAUUUGGAGAAUCCAACUAAUUAAGAAAAGUAAUUGAUCGCGGGACAAAAAAUGAAACAUUCAUAAGUAAUUGCCCACCUAAUGCAAUAUUAACAAGUUAGCAGCACUGCACUAUUUCUAUUCACUUUUAAUUGUCAUAAAUUUUUUUUUAGUCAAAUUAUAAAAAUUUUGACUAACAUUUUAUUAUAUAUUUUUGGCAAAUAUACUCAUUACCCCCUUGAACUUGAAGCUUUUUAUACGAUGUACACCUAAAUUAAAUUUCGUUUUAAUUACCCCGAACUUGUUUAUUCCUCCGUCGCAUACACCUUUUUAUGCAAAAAUUUCUUUUUAGUAUUUUAUGGUCUAUAUGGGCCAAUUUAAGUUUUUUUUUUAAAUGUAGUAAUAAAUUUGAUAAAAUAUAAUAAAUUUCGUAGAUAUAAUUGAUAAAUUAAGAACUGUAUUUGAAGUAAAAAUAAAUUUAUAUUGGUGAAAAUAAUCGUUAUAUGAGAUAUAAACGAUUUAAAAAGUAAUGAUAUUAUUAUAAAUUUUAUUUACAUAUAAAACAAACGACUAGUAAAUAUAUAUAAAUUAAACUUGGGUUGUUUUACGAAAAUAUAAAUUUGUUGACCAAUUUUUGUAUUCCAAAUCAUGAUUUUUGGGAAAUUUGACAUUUAUCUCAUAAUAUGAAAUCACGAGAUGAAAUAAACAGGAAAUUACAUAUUGAAACACUAAUAUGAAAUUGCAUGGCUAAACACCAAUUUCCAUAUUGGAUGAUAUGAAAUUGCAUGGCUAAACAUCUACAUCUUCAUAUAUACUUCCUCCGUCUCAUUUUAUGUGACAUCAUUUUCUUUUUGGUCAGUACCAAAAAGAAUGUCACAUUUCCUUAAAUGGUAAGUAUUUAAAGGUACAAUUCAUCUUUUAUCCUUGUUGGUCCCACUUAAUCAUAAAAUAAUACUCCAAUACAUUUAUGAGGAGAAAGAAAAGUGAGUCUACUUUUUAAAGGGCAAUUUGGUAAACAUUUCAAAGUUUUCAUUUAUUUCUUAAAUUCCGUGCCCCAUCAAAUAUUGCCACAUAAAUAGGACGGAGGGAGUAUAAAAAUUCAAACGACGACGUUAGAUAGAAAAGAAGUCCCACACGGCACGUGACGUUCCUUUUCUUCCCAAAAAGCAGCGAGAUAGGAGUGGACCUGGCAGUCCUCCUGCUAUGGCCGUUCCACUCUUCUCUGCCCAAUUUCACACUUCAAUUCUCACACAACCACUUCCCUCUUCUCGCUCUUUUUCCGUCGGAAAACUCUUGUCUUGCUCGUCGUCGUCAACUUCCAUGGAACAUCAUGAAUCGAAAUUCAAGGAAUUUCCUUAUGCAUCUGUUCCGCAUAGAGAGUUAAUGGUGGAACUUGUAUCGACUGUGGAGAAUCGUCUUGGAGAAUCUCUACUUCCUUGUACUCUGCCUUCUCAUGUGCAGUAUUUUGAGAAUGAAUCUGCUACUGCUCAUGCUUCUCUCUAUGUCAGAUCUGGAAAUUCCUCUUCUCAGGUACUCUCCGACUGAUUCUACUACUUAUUACCUAUUCAUUCAUUUCUGCACUUGUGCCAAUUAUAUGUAUUAGGGUAUGAUAUAGGAAUUACUUCCUGUUGGAUGUUUUGUUGAAUUAGUAUAUAGGAAUGGGUUACAUCUAUGUUAUAAAAGCUUCUAUGGAAACUCAAGCGGAUAAUCCAAUUCAGGCAACUAUAUUUAGCAAGACUGAGAUUCGAGUGAAUAUACUCCUUCUCAUCCCAUUUUAUCUUAAUUUUGUGUUGUUGCAUCACAAUGUUAUGAAAAACGAAAAGCGCAAAAAAACUUUAAAGUAGGCCGGGACUUUAAGCCUGAAAUACAAAUAAAGCUUGAGCUUUAAUGAAAAAAAGACACAAUAGGGAAAAAAAUACAAAUAUAUUAUAUGUAUCCAAGACUAAUAAAUAUAAGCAUGAAUAACAAAUCUAUGGACAAAGAAAUUGAUCUUUUUAUAAUAAAGUGUGAUACCAAUAGCUUAGAACCCUUAUUCGCAAGGAAAAGAUUGUCUUAGGGACUGAAUGACGACAAUGAAGUGCACAUUAAGCGAGGCAAAGUGCUCAACAUAUUUUGAGCCUUGCUUCUGGGAUUGAGCAUUCUUAAAGCACGCCUUUGACAACAUUGUUGCAUCACUCCUACGUGAGACCAAAAAAAUGCGCCAAGAAUUUUCUCCUAAUACCCUCCAAUAUGAAUGAUGUCACUGCUAUCUUGUACAUGGUGAAGAUAAAGAAAACAAGAAAUUAUUAUGUACUAUAGAAUAAUGAUUGAGAAAGCUAGAUCUUGUCCUCUAAUUUUAGUGGAUUUGGCUUAUACAGAAGAGUUAAUCCAUUACGAAUUGUGCUUUUGUUGAUUGGCCUUUUUACUAUGUAUGCUAAAUAUAUCAGUCUUUUAAUAAUAGUAACAUGAAUUGAAAUGCCAAAUACUUAAUUGUAUAAUGUGCUGAUGGGAGUUAAGAAGAUCAGCAGUACUUGUAUUACUCUGUGCAUCUGUGGUUUUCUCCAUCCAAUGAAGUCAGACAAGAUCUUUAUCAAAUCUGUUUUUUUUUAGCUAAUUUCAAAUUUAGUAUUUCUUGUUCAAGCCAUAUAUCUUGCCCUUUCUAGUAAAUAACAGUCUUAUAAUUCCUUUUAAUUGGACAUGGCUCUAAGAAAGGUGUUUGGAUUAUAGCUUAUUUUAAGUAGCUUUUGGCUUUUAAGUUCCUUUUUAUUUUUGAGGUGUUUGGGAAAGACAAAAAGUGCUUUUAAGCACUUAUUUUUAGGCGAAAAUAGUACAAAAAUAAGUUAAAAACCAAAAAUUGGGCAUGACCAACUUAUGACUUUUAGCUUUUAGCUUAUAAGCUACUUAAAAAAAGUCAAUCCAAUCAACCCCUCUGUAGAUGAAAAAAAGCAUCCUAAUUCUAUAAUAGGUUAUUAUAUGGGUUGUUAGUAUUCAAAAUGUUAACUUUCUCAAAAAAAAAAUGAUAUAAGCCAAAUGGCAAAUGUAAAAAUAGGCCCUUAAAGCAAUGUUGUGUCUCCUUUUGAGUUUUAAGUCUAUCAAUGGAUUCUGGUGUCUAGAGUCUAAAGGGCAUGUUUUGAAAGACAAUAAACAAAAGGGGUUGUCAUAAAAAUCACAUACCAAAAGGGGUUGUUUGUGAAUUGUACUGCAAACUGCCAUAUUUUUCACGGACGACCCCUAACGUCCAUUUGUUACAUUUAAAAAAUAUAAAACAAACGCAAUUCGUGAAAUGUGGUGCGAAUUCCCACUAAUUUUUUAAUAGUUUGUAGCAUGUUCUGUGAACUGCAUCUCAACUAGUUUUGCUGUGAUCUUGUCAAAGUAGUUUGAUCUCUGCUUGUUGCCCCUCCCCUAGGUUGAGGAGCUGUAAGGGGAAAAUUCUUAUGAUCUGCAAUCUCACCUUCUCACAUAAGCUUUCCCAACUUCAAUAUCUGGUGGCACUGAGUUCCCAUCUGAAUAGGUGCCGAGGUAGUUUGUGAACUAGUAUCUAAACUGGAACAAUAGAAGUUUCUUGCUCUGGUUUAAAAUUCAGUGCGCAUCUCAGGAAUUUCAUAGUGUAUGACCCAAUGUGAAUGGAUGACUUGAAAAUAUGUGAUUGAAGUCUGUUUUGUUACAGAAAAUCAAUGUAAACAGUGCUGUAGUUGUAGUAUGCAAUCUUGACUCUUCCUUUCAAUUGAAAUUGACUCACAAAAAUUUUCCUUAGUUUUUUCAUAGUAGGUUCCUUUGAUGAAUUUACCCACAAUAGUCAUUUGCAAUUAUUGGCCGAAUUCACGAAAUAGUCAUCAGCAGAGAAAAAUAUGGUUGGCUUACCGAGAUGAGUCUCAUGCCUGAUUUCAAUAGGAGCUUCGGCGGUUGAGGCAAUCGCCAAAUCAGCUUGAACCUUUCUGCGAAGGUUGGUUUCGAUGGAGCAACACCCUUACCUUUCCCUGCUAAAUUGGGAUUUUUCUGUUGGAGUUGAAUAUUGGGGUUUCUGAUCUGGGCUUGAAAGAUUGGUUAUAGCAGGAUUUUUAUCAGUGGCAGCAGGGUUAUGAUCAGUUUCAUUGAUGUUGGUCGCGGCAACCGAUUUCAAUUUUGAAGAGGGUGUGUCGAAAUCUGAGGACAAUUUUGGCUGAGGGGGUGUAUGAUUUUGGUGGGUGGAUUUCGAAUGGGCAGUGUUUUCCUGUUGAGGUGUUGCAUGGUGAUCGGAAAAAGAGUAGGCUGAGUGUUAAUGGCAUCUUGGAGGUUCUGGAGAAUUGUUGGGGGCAAGCUUUAGGAGCUUAUUACUGUCCAUGUGUUGUUCCUCUGAAGGAUUGGAAGAUAUAGGGGAUGAUGUUUUGUUGUUGUUGUGGUUGUUGGUGCUAGAAGGAGUUGAUUUUGGUGAGUUUGGGAUUUCUCGGGUGGAUUGGUUCAAACUAGCAAUUGGGGGUUGUAGGAGAGCAGGUGUGUUUUGCUGAGUUGUCGGUGUAGGAGAGGCUGCAGUUGGUUGAGAUGAGUAUGGAUUGUGGAUGUAUAACUAGUGUUUUAGGUGGGUUCCGAUGCACCAUUUGGGUGUUUGCUGAAAAGAUCAAUAGAUCUUCAUAGAGAGAAGCUAGAGAGAAUAUGCAUCCAAAAUUGACCAACCAAUCUAACAGCUCGAUUCAAGAAUUAUCCUUGUGCAUAAUUUGUAGUUUACUGCAUUUCUGCUAGUUGCGUUCACCCGAUAUCUUCUUGGGGAAGUUAUACAUAAGGACUGCAAAAGCAUCAUGGAGAUAGCAAGUAGGAAGUCUAAUUAGUUCAUCAAUCUAAUCUUCCUAUGCUUGUUCAUUCUUGAAUUUGGAUCUGGCUUCUGUUCAUUUAUUCUUGUCCAGUUCCAUUCCUCUGCUUAUAGUUAGUAGUUCCACUGAGAGUUCUUUGACAAGUCUUGUUUCUCUUUGAGAUUUAAAGUUCUUUUUCUAACGCGUAUAAUAAAAGAUAAACUGGGAACACACAGUUAACGAUUUCAACUUUCUCAUCAGGAGUAUAUGCAAGGUUAAUAUUUUUGCCUUUUCUAAAUUGUGACAGGUUGAUUUCAUACUUGGUAGUUGGGUUCACUGCAACCUACCCACAGGCGGAGCGUUGAAUAUUACAAGCCUUUCAGCAUAUUUGAGACCUUCAACUGAUGCACCAAACUUCUUAAUUGAAGUUAUCCGCAGCAGUCCAACAACUCUCAUCCUUAUUCUUGAUCUACCUCCGCGAAAGGACCUUGUCCAACAUCCUGAUUACCUCAAGACCUUUUAUGAGGAAACACAAUUAGACAAGCAGAGACAACUUCUCGAGAAAUUACCUGAGGUAAAGCCUUACUUCUCUUCGUCUCUAUAUAUUCGAUCCCUAGUCUCUCCAUUGGCUAUCUUGGUUUCUAUAGAAACCGAACCUUCCCAGGC